UGGGGAAUAUUGCACAAUGGGCGCAAGCCUGAUGCAGCCAUGCCGCGUGUAUGAAGAAGGCCUUCGGGUUGUAAAGUACUUUCAGCGAGGAGGAAGGCGUUGUGGUUAAUAACCGCAACGAUUGACGUUACUCGCAGAAGAAGCACCGGCUAACUCCGUGCCAGCAGCCGCGGUAAUACGGAGGGUGCAAGCGUUAAUCGGAAUUACUGGGCGUAAAGCGCCCGCAGGCGGUCUGUCAAGUCGGAUGUGAAAUCCCCGGGCUCAACCUGGGAACUGCAUCCGAAACUGGCAGGCUAGAGUCUUGUAGAGGGGGGUAGAAUACCAGGUGUAGCGGUGAAAUGCGUAGAGAUCUGGAGGAAUACCGGUGGCGAAGGCGGCCCCCUGGACAAAGACUGACGCUCAGGUGCGAAAGCGUGGGGAGCAAACA
RNAcentral lists this ribosomal RNA (427 nucleotides) under uncultured bacterium. RNAcentral describes it as "partial 16S ribosomal RNA". It matches the Rfam family "Bacterial small subunit ribosomal RNA", at positions 355 to 774 of the family's 1533-position model. The record is from RNAcentral.